GCGAGUGCCUGUCAGCGCACGUGCCCCCCGGAAGCCCACCCGGCCUGGCCAGAGAGAAGGUGUUGGAGGCCCUCGAGAAGGCGGCGGCGGCGGCAGCCCUGGAGAAGGUGUCGGGGGACGGCGGCGGCGGCCCUUGAGAAGGCGUCGGCGGCCUCCCCGGCCCCGGCCAGCCUGGCCUGGCCACAGGGAAGUUAGCAGCCGCCAUGGCGGCCCCAGCCCGGCCAGAGGGAAGUUGGUGUAGGCGGCUGCAACCCCGGCUAGCCCUGAGGGAAGUCGGUGUAAGCGGCGGAGGAGACGGCGUCGCGGUCAGAGCGAGUUUCUUUGGAGAAGCCAUAGUGGCUUCAACGUGAUGGUGGAGGAUGAGACAGGUCCCUGUGGCUUUUCUGGGUAUGCCUGCCAAGCAUGGCAGCUGCUCCAUGCCAUGAGAAGGAAGAGCUAUCUGCUGCAUGCUGGAGGCUGUAGCCUGUGGCACCAUGGCUCCCCUUGCUGCAGUGGGUGGCAGCGACGGAGACUGCAGAGCGCCAGAGAGAAUGUUGAUCCUGGCUCUUUCUGUAACUUGUAUUCCCACGACAUUCUGGCCAUCAGAGCUGAGCAAAAAGGGGCUUCCAGCUUCGAUCUGACCGUUUGUGGGAUCUCCCGAAGACGAUGUUUCUGGUGGGUGGCCAGAAAGAUAUUCUUGCUGGACCGAUGGGUUGGAGACGCGCCAGGUUCUGGAAGUUUCCUGACACCAGAAUGGAGGCACAGAGGCAUGACUGCUUGAACCGCCAAGGCCUGAGAUGGCUGGGCCAGAAGCUGCCAGAUUGUCACACGGAGAUGAGCUUCGACGGAUAGUGCCCAGUGGAAGCACCACUGAGUCACAGAUGCGGCCCCAGGAUGCUGUAGGAGGCAGGAGGCACAAGCUGCAGCCAGGAGCAGGUCAGCUCCAGGCUGCCGUAAGGCCCUGGGGUCGAAUCCCAGCCCGGUAAGAAGGAUGCAGGGAAGGGGAAGUGCCUCACCGCUGCAGUUGUGAAAGCAAGUCCAGAAGCCGCUCCAGGCCUGUCAGGAGGUCUCUAGAAGCUGGAAAUCAGGAGACCGGGUUAGGUCAGUGAGGGAGGGGCCUGGGAUCUCACAGGAGGUGGAGUGGAUGUUUCUUGAGGGAAGACCAUGGGGAGUCAGACCCUGGAAACCACAUGUCUGUGUCCAAGGCCACAUGGCCUGGACAGUGAUAGCGAGGCACGGAGGGCAAGGCUUUGUUGUCCACAAAGGGCUUCCACACACAGACCCCUCUAUCCCCAUAGUUCUCACAGCUGCCCUGUGGGGAGAAAGGACUGGGGUGGUCUCAAAGAGGAAUCAGCCUUAGCAGAGUUGAACAGCUGUCCACAGCCCCUUCACCCCUGUCCUGAUUCAGACAGGCAUUGGUCUCCUCCCCCUACACUGUGCCCUGCUGGGGAACACCCAGUCCUUGGGUCACCAUGGUUUCAUGCCAGCACAGAAUCUGAGAGGGACCCGGGGUUCUGAUUUCCUUCCUAGGAGCCCCCACCUCAGGCUUCUUCAACUGACUUCCUCAGACAGAGUCGCUUCUCUCUGGGGACAGACGAGAUCAAAUGAACUCUAGUGUGCCCCGGCAGAGCCUUACCUUUCAGACUGCAGUUUUUCUUCCUGCCUUUGGGCCUCCCCCUCCACUGACCUUGACACUGGGACAGAAGAUGACCCUGGGAGAGAAGGUGACCCUGGGAGACAAGAAAGGGCGAGGGGCUGAGACCAGCUCUCGCUCUUCACCCCCAGUCCAGCCGCGGUGCUCACGAACCCCACAGCUCUCUCGUCUUGCUCAGGGAGCGGUGUGCUUUCUCCCACUCUUGUUUAAGUGGAUGAUAAACUGCUUUUCUUCUUAGAAAAACAUGAAGAGGGGGCCAGACGCGGUGGCUCACGCCUAUAACCCGAGUGUUUGGGGAAGCCAAGAAGGGUGGAUCACCUGAGAUCAGAAAUUUGAGACCAGCCUCACCAGCAUAGUUGACACCCUGUCUCUACUAAAAAUAACAAAAAUUAGCCAGGCAUGGUGGCGCAUGCCUGUGACCUCAGCUACUUCGGAGGCUGAGGCAGGAGAACUGCUGGAACCUGGGAAGCAGAGGCUGCAGUGAGCCGAGAUCAUCAUUGCACUCCAGCCAGGGGACAAGAGUGAGACUCUGUCUCAAAAAGCAAACAAACAAUAAAACCCACCAAAAAGAGGGAUUUACUGUAUGAGGAAAUAUAUACAUCAUAUAUAUUUCAUAUAUCAACUAUAAUAUACAUAAUGUAUAAUAUAUAAUAUAAUGUAAGUAAUGGUAGAGGUGCUCCUCUACUUGAACACCCAGGCUCAGGCCCGCUGGCACACCUGAGCUGUCAGGAUUCUGCUUCUCAGGCGAUCAGAGGAGACUCCAGGCCCAGGUGGGAGGCCCUCGGAGGCUCAGCACAGCCCCCAGAUCACCCCACACAGAUAAGGCUGGGCCCCCAGCCACCUGCCCCAGGAAAGGGCUUAUGAGCAUUUCCCCACAGAGACCUCCCCCAUGUCCUGAUUUGUCCUCACCACUGAGUCCAAGGGUUUGGUUUUGCCCUGACACCUCCUGUUCUCUCCCACAGAUGGACUUAGAGCUUGGGAUGGAAAUCCCAGUCCCGACCAACCCCUGGCUGCUCUGACUCCCUGGAAGGACCAUGUUCUGGUCUCUCCUGACACUUCCCAUUGCAGAAGUCUCUCCACUGGAUUUGGAAAAGUAGAGCUAAUAAUAGAAAGAAAGGAGAGAAUUGUGCUGUAUCUCUGCCCCUUCGUCUGAAGAGCCAAUAAUGACCAAGUCCUUGCUGGAGUUUUGCUCUUGUUACCCAGGCUGUAGUGCAAUGGUGCGAUCUCGGCUCACCACAACCUGAGGGAGGAGGUUUAACAAUGCAGUGGGAACUGCAGUGUGUCUCCUCCAUGCCCCUCACAUUUAGAACAAUACAAGAGCUUGAGGAAAACUUCAGCAGUUUGCUGAAACUAUGUCGCAGUUCAGCAAAGAAGAAGCUCCUGUCACAGAUAUCCUCACUGAUUUCAACGCUGAUACCCACUUUGUGCAGGGUUUGCUAGAACUAGGAUGUCAGAAAACCAUUAAGGCAGGAUCUACAAGAGGUAAAUAUUUCCAAAGAGCAGUAAUAGCCCCUUGACCCCCACCCCCACUUCAUAUAUUCAUUCAGUUCGUCUACACAGCCUGGCAGGGUGCCACGUCAUGACUUCCACUUGGGAUUCCCAAGAUCUCCUCUCAAUUGGGCAAGAAGCAAACAUCUGGGGGGAAUUUUGGAAACUGAGGCCAUCUCUACAGGAACCCAUGUGGCCAUGCUGUAGUGUGGUCAGGCUGGUGACUCUUACCAAUUAAACAGCCAGUCCACUCACCACUAAGUGGAUCCCACUGGUUGGUUGAUUAUUGCUGCUGAUGUGGUCCCCUCUCCCUGACAAAACUUGCACAGGGUCGCAAAGGACUUCACACUAUUUCUUCCCCUCUACUGCCAAACAAGGGGCAUCUUGACUCUUCCAGAAUCAGACGUAAAAGACAAGGUUGGUAAAAUCAGUAUCCAUCCCACCUGAAGCUAUGAUUAGCCAGUGUGUACAAACAUGGCACUUUUAUUUUAUUUUCUAUUAUUUUAUUUUUUUGAGACAGAGUUUCUAUUUUGUUGCCCAGGCUGGAGUGCAGUGGCGUGAUGUCAGCUCGCUGCAACCUCUGCCUCCCGGGUUCAAGCAAUUCUCCUGUCGGUCUCCUGAGUAGCUGGGAUUACAGGCGCCCGCCACCAUGCCCAGCUAAUUUUUGUAUUUUUUAGUAUAGACAGGGUUUCAUCAUGUUGGCCAGACUGGUCCUGAACUUUAGACCUCAGGUAGUCUACCUGCCUCAGCCUCCCAAAAUGCUGGGAUUACAGGUGUCAGCUACCGCACCUGGCCUGGACAUGGCACUUUUAAAAAGUUUUUUUCAGCAGGGAGCAGUGGCUCACGCCUGUAAUGCCAGCACUUUGGGAGGCCAAGGUGGGUGGAUCACAAGGUCAAGAGAUGGAGACCAUUCUGGUCAACAUGUUGAAACCCCAUCUCUACUAAAAAUACAAAAAAUUAGCUGGGCAUAGUGGCGCGUGCCUGUGAUCCCAGCUACUCAGGAGGCUGAGUCAGGAGAAUUGCCUGAACCCAGGAGGCGGAGGUUGCGGUGAGCCGAGAUCGUGCCAUUGCACUCCAGCCUGGGUAACGAGAGCAAAACUCUGUCCGCCCCCCCCCCAAAAAAGUAGAUAUUUUAUAGAUAAGAGAUGACAAAAAGGAAACCAAAACACAUGGGAAGUAAUAAGGACUCUUGGGGUUUGGACGGGUAUUUUGGAACUACCCGUUGGACGUCAACA
Molecule: non-coding RNA, 4356 nt
Organism: Callithrix jacchus (white-tufted-ear marmoset)
Lineage: Eukaryota; Metazoa; Chordata; Mammalia; Primates; Cebidae
Source: RefSeq, a predicted model, not a curated record